RNAcentral lists this ribosomal RNA (373 nucleotides) under uncultured organism. RNAcentral's name for it is "partial 16S ribosomal RNA". It matches the Rfam family "Bacterial small subunit ribosomal RNA", at positions 527 to 896 of the family's 1533-position model. The record is from RNAcentral.
GGAGGGCGCGAGCGUUGUCCGGAAUUACUGGGCGUAAAGGGGGCGCAGGCGGCUUGGCAAGUCUUGUGUGAAAGGCCACGGCUCAACCGUGGACAUGCACUAGAUACUACCGAGCUUGAGACGGGUAGAGGCGAGUGGAAUUCCCGGUGUAGCGGUGGAAUGCGUAGAUAUCGGGAAGAACACCAGUGGUGAAGGCGACUCGCUGGGCCCGUCCUGACGCUCAGGCCCGAAAGCGUGGGGAGCAAACAGGGAUUAGAUACCCUGGUAGUCCACGCCGUAAACGAUGGGCACUAGGUGCUGGGGAGUGUGACCUUUUCAGUGCCGUAGCUAACGCGUUAAGUGCCCCCGCCUGGGGAGUACGGCCGCAAGGCUG